GGCGCAGGCGGGAAGCUAAGUUGGAUGUGAAAUACCGGGGCUCGACUCCGGAGCUGCAUCCAAAACUGGUUUUCUUGAGUGGAGUAGAGGCAAGCGGAAUUCCGAGUGUAGCGGUGAAAUGCGUAGAUAUUCGGAGGAACACCAGUGGCGAAGGCGGCUUGCUGGGCUCUAACUGACGCUGAGGCCCGAAAGCGUGGGGAGCAAACA
This 207-nucleotide ribosomal RNA is filed under the name uncultured bacterium. Its description in RNAcentral is "partial 16S ribosomal RNA". It matches the Rfam family "Bacterial small subunit ribosomal RNA", at positions 568 to 774 of the family's 1533-position model. The record is from RNAcentral.